UACGUAGGGUGCAAGCGUUAAUCGGAAUUACUGGGCGUAAAGCGUGCGCAGGCGGUGAUGUAAGACAGUUGUGAAAUCCCCGGGCUCAACCUGGGAACUGCAUCUGUGACUGCAUCGCUGGAGUGCGGCAGAGGGGAUGGAAUUCCGCGUGUAGCAGUGAAAUGCGUAGAUAUGCGGAGGAACACCGAUGGCGAAGGCAAUCCCCUGGGCCUGCACUGACGCUCAUGCACGAAAGCGUGGGGAGCAAACAGG
Molecule: ribosomal RNA, 252 nt
Filed under: uncultured bacterium
Lineage: Bacteria
Description: partial 16S ribosomal RNA
Rfam family: Bacterial small subunit ribosomal RNA
Source: RNAcentral